UACAGAGGGUGCGAGCGUUAAUCGGAAUUACUGGGCGUAAAGCGCGCGUAGGCGGCUUUGCAAGUCGGGUGUGAAAUCCCCAGGCUUAACCUGGGAACUGCAUUCGAGACUGCAUUGCUAGAGUAUGGGAGAGGGAAGUGGAAUUUCCGGUGUAGCGGUGAAAUGCGUAGAUAUUGGGAGGAACACCAGUGGCGAAGGCGGCUCACUGGACCGGUUCUGACGCUGAGGCGCGAAAGCGUGGGGAGCAAACGGG
RNAcentral lists this ribosomal RNA (253 nucleotides) under uncultured bacterium. RNAcentral describes it as "partial 16S ribosomal RNA". It matches the Rfam family "Bacterial small subunit ribosomal RNA", at positions 524 to 776 of the family's 1533-position model. The record is from RNAcentral.